RNAcentral lists this long non-coding RNA (42844 nucleotides) under Jatropha curcas. Its description in RNAcentral is "long non-coding RNA (JCUR_LNC001235)". The record is from RNAcentral. Lineage: Eukaryota; Viridiplantae; Streptophyta; Magnoliopsida; Malpighiales; Euphorbiaceae.
UGUGAUUGGAAAGCUUUUCCGAGCAGUGAGAGACAUUGCACCACAUACAAGCUCUAUUAAGUCCUUUACUUUGGAAGUGGCAAGGCAGUGUUAUGACCCUGAUAUGGAAGUUGAUGGUUUUGAGGAUUAUAUAGAUGAUGCCUUCUAUUACAAAACGAAUUAUGAUUACAAAUUGGGUAAUCAUAUGGACUAUUAUGGCAUCAGAACUGAGGCUGAAAUUCUCGGUGGAAGUAUUAUGAAAAUGUCAAAAGCUUUCACCAAGAAAAGGGACGCAGAAGCAAUUGGUUUGGCGGUGAGGUCCUUAAGAAAAGAAGCAAGAUCUUGGUUUAAAGAAAGGGGAAGUGGAUUAGAUUCUGAAGAAGAUGAUGUUUAUGCAAAAGCCUCCGCUUGGUACUAUGUUACUUAUCAUCCUAGUUAUUGGGGUUGCUACAACGAGGGAAUGAAUCGAGAUCAUUUUCUUAGCUUUCCUUGGUGUGUUUAUGACAAGCUGAUCCAGAUCAAGAGGAAGAGAAGGUGUCAAAAUUUAUCAUUGCUUGAACGCCAGUUUGGGCUUGGACUGCAUUUUCAUUAACAAAUGUGAAAUUUUGAACAUGUCUAUAUGUUCAUAGUCUUGGUUUGAGUUUGCCAGCUAAUCCAGAUCAGCGGAACAAAUCAAGGAUCAACCAGGUUCCUACUUUUUUCUCUUUACAGAUUUUCCAUGUAGAUGUGGACUGCUUUUGAGUUUAGAAGGUAAUCAAAAUAUAUGGCUAUACAUAUGGUUAUGAAUAUGUAAUAUUUCAAAGACAAUAUAUGAUGUAAAUGUUUAUGUUCAUAUAAUGGCAGAANNNNNNNNNNNNNNNNNNNNNNNNNNNNNNNNNNNNNNNNNNNNNNNNNNUUUUAUUUGCCUGAUUGUUGAUGCAUUAUCCAUAUUUAGGUGUUAUAUAGCCGUUUUGAGAUACAUGCUAUUCUAGUCGUGCAUGAUCGGUGUUUGUUUUUUUGCUGCAAAUAAUGGGUACUGAUAAUUUGAAUGUUUAACAACAUUUAUUAGUCAGUUUUUCUGGUAUGUAUAACAAAAGCUGCACUGCUAAUUGCUGAUAUGAUAGCUUUUGAUUAUGGCGAUUUUGGUUUCAGAAUAACAGUUAAUUGAGAUCCUUUUCCAUUGCUUGAAAAUGACAAGGGCAUAGCUUCAUGCAUUCUCUUGAGGAACCGUUCAAACAAUUCAUUAACAAUCUCAGCUCCAAAGUGUUUGGUAAUGACUGGUUCUAACCCAGAUUUGAAAUGCAUCAUGAUUGUAUAUUCAGUUGGUUGAUUAUCAGGGCUGCAUUCGCAAUCUGUAGGCUCCAUUCUUUCAAUGCUAAAACACCCACUUUGUUCUAUAAACUGUGUAAGCUCCUUGGGCGUUACACAGUACAAUGGAAUGUUGAAAGAGUCCACAAGUGCUUCACAUAUUAAUCCCUGCAAUCAGGAUUUUGAUUUGGUUAUUUACAUGUUUUAAAUUUUCAUGGGGUUUCACUGUUAUCGUUAAUAUUUAACUUUUCAAACUGUUAUCGUUAAUAUUUAACUAUUGACCAACUAUCAUUAAAAGCUGAUUUUCCAUUGCUGAAUCAAGCAGACCCCUAAAUCUAUAAUUUCAUAUAAUCCACUAGUCUAGUAUGUUUCUAUAUUGUUACCUCUUUUGCCUUGUCCAUGAGGCACGACCCUAAAUGAUUCAGCAAUAUCCCGAUUGGUACAUUCGACGGAGAGACCCCAUCAGGAAUAGAAGGAAUGAUUAUCACCAUCAUGCUUCCCUCUGCAAGUUCUUUUGCUCUGGCAUUCAAGAACAUUCCCAUAUCCUUGCUAAAUUGGGCAGCAAAGGCUUUCACUACUGCUUCUGAUGCACCUGUAUAGUGAACUCUCCCUCCGUUCCAUGCAGGAGAGUCCAUGUCGAACACCUCUUCAGGAACACCAGAAAGCCAAUGUAAUGUGUAGGAGGAAUGCACAAAAUGGAGAGACGAGUCAGGAAACAACUGGGUAUGAUAUGACCUUGGUACCCCUGCUGUAAAAUAUUUCCUGAGGUGGGAGAGACUUGAAAAGGGUAUUAAAGUCGUUAAAUGGAAGAUCAUUAAAGAAAACUUGAAACUGAGGUAUUUGAUCGUAAGUGAAGCCUUCAUUUAUGAACUUUCGCUCCACAGCUUCAAGUAUACUAUGAACAUAGUAAAAGGUGUUUGGUCCUGUUGAACAUCCCAUAUCAGCUAUACAAAAUGCCUUGCUACAUGAAGUUGAUAAAAAUGACUUCGUUUCAAGCUUCUCAUGGAUUGUCUCAUCAAUUAUUCCCUUCAUGAAUUCCAGAAUCCAUUUCUGCAAAAACGAAUUUAAACUUAAUCUUAAAAUACAGAAGUUUCUGCUAUCUUCUUUAAAUAUUUUUCAACAAAAAGAGAACACUACAACUACUUAGUGAUUUAGAAAGUAAAAUACCUGAUGGUGACUGAGGGAGCCCUUGGCAGCAGGCAUCUCGACGCCUAUCUUCAACUCUUCUUCUCUCUCACCUCCAUUUUUGCAUAUUUCAAAGAUUUAUAUUUAUAUGUAUAUGGAAUUAGCCGUCCUCGUAACAUAGAUUCUUUAUGUCCAAAAGAAUGACAUUUUCAAGUAACUCUUGCUCUAUGUCUUGUAGUCAUCAUCAGGCAUAAAGAAUAAGUUUCAGACAACAUCGAAAAUAAAAUUCAUUUUUUAAUUUGCAACAAUAUAUAUAUAUACUGAUACCAACAAAAUACAACAAAAUAAGCGUGUUUUAUGACUAAAGUCUAUGACUAUAGACUAUAGACUUUAAUUAAUGAACAAAAGACUUUAGACUUAUAAAAGACUUUUAAAAUAAAAGACUAAAGACUUUGAAAAUAAAAUGAUAAAGACUUGAAAACUUUAAAAACAAAGACUUACUUAUGCUUUUUAUUGUUUAUCGUAUAUAGACUUAUGUUUUCCAACAAAAACUUAAAGUUGAUAAAGACUUAUGCUUUUUAAUUUUUAUUGUAUAAAGACUUUAAAACUUGAUUUUAAACAAAGUCAUAUAUAUGUAGAGCGCUAAGAUUAUUACUAGGAUUUAAAUAAAUACAGAUACAAACAUUUAAAGAUAAAUCAUAACUGUGAACUAAAAUACUAUGAUUAAUUGGGUUUAUAUGAAUACUUAUAUAAUUCAUUAAAUAUAAUUUUACUUCAGAGUCAACACAAUAUUUCUGAUGUGGAAGAUCAGACUAAGCUGCAUCCACAGAGCAUACUUAUAACAAAUUUUAAUCAACAAUUUUAGCACAAAGGUUUAGGGUUCCUGCAACCUUAACCUAGGAUCCCCAGAAUUAAGUCAGAGUGUGGAGGGAGAAGAGAAAGGUGCCGUAAACACGGACUUAUAUUCGUAGCAGUUUAAAAUAAAAUACAAACUUUAUUUAAUUACAAAAUAUAAAUACAAGAUUUAAAACUUACAANNNNNNNNNNNNNNNNNAUAUAUAUAUAUAUAUAUAUAUUGUGAUGCAUUUAUGGUGAAAAAUAAUAACUGGGAAGAGGUAAACUUAGAACCAACUGAAGGGAAGUUAUCUCAAAAGAUCUACUAUUCUUCGAUGUCAGUACAGAUUUAGCUAUGAACAGGUCAGAAUGAAAACAAAAGAUUCGUAUAGUUUGAGAUUAAAGUUUAGUCGUAGCUAUAAUAAAAAUAUUUAUAUAUACAAUUGAAUUUAUAUUUAUUUUUCUUCUCUAACAGCAUAAUUAAGUGUGUAGAAGAUUUUCACAGGUACAGGUAUUAUUUUACUUGGAACGUAUAGUUUUAACUGGCAGCACUAGUUCGACUGGUUAAUUAUGCUAGUUUGUACUUAUUGGGAACUUGUUUACUAAUUGCUAUGCCAUUGACAAUUUCUGAUGCCACUCAAUAUGUUCUUUUAUGUUCAUAUAGGGGACGACCAAACUCUUGCUUUUUCGGGAUCUACAAUUACAAUGCCGUUUUGAUUUGUAAAAAGUCUUGCAUGUCUGUAUUUUCCUAGUCAGGGAAUUAAAAUUUCGACUUGGAGGCUUCACUUUGAUUACUAGCAAUAAUUUGAUAUGACGGCGGCGAAGUCUAGUUAUAGCUUUCCCAAAUAGUAGAGACUGAGGUGGAGUAAAUGGGUCCUUGUUGAUUGGCAUUGUGAAGGAAAAUGAGAAGGAACAAUCUACACAAACCAAGUUUUUUGUUAGAUCUUUGUCUUUUGAUAAAUAUUUUUUCUUGGAAUGAUUUCAAGCUUCCAACCUUCACAGUUCCCAAGAAGGCAGGACCGUCUUCUCGCACUGGAUCGAGUAAAAUUGGGCUAAUUUGUGUGGUGGGAGGAGGAAGACCAUGAAGAAAGGGUUAGAGAAAGACUUUUUAGUAUAAUCACGAGGGCAUCAUUUGUUAUUUUAAAAUAAUUUUCUCUCUUAUUUUUUCUUUUCAUCUUUUAACGGAAAACACAUAUUUUUGAAGGGAAGGAUCGAGACGGAAUCAAAUCAUGACGACUCAAUAUUUAAUAUACAACGAUAGGAGAUAGGAGAACAGGAUAAUUAAUUUUGUAAAACCUCAAAUUAUAAUAAUUAUUUUCAAAAAAAAAAAAAAACAGCACCUGAAAAGACGAGAUUGCAUAGCUGUAAUCGCCAUCUCCUCCAUUCAUUACACAUGCAUGAUUCCGCCAUUAACAUUUCCGAAAAAGCUUUAAAUAACUCAAUUCUCUCAAUAAUGAAGCAACUGUUUCUUUUUACAAGUUCUUGCACCUCCUUAGCAGAUGGAAUAUAAAAGGGGAGAUUGAACGAGUCCACUUGCACUUCUCUCACCAAUCCCUGUGCAUGUUUAAACAAAAAUGGAUUAAUUACAAUGGAGAAUUUCUUUAUGGGCGAGCUAUAACUUGGAAGGUCAUGAAUUUGAAUUGAAACAUUCAAAAAUAAGGGUAAGAGGCAAACAAUGGAGAACCUCCCAAAACCAUAUAAUAAGAUGCACAAAGAUAUCAAAUUUUACAAUAAGAUUACAGUAUGAUGAAGUAUAAUUGUAAUAACUGAUAUAAUUAAAUGUAUUUUUAGUAUAAUCACGAGUUCUGAAACUGACCUCUCUAGCCAUGUCCAUGAGGCUAGAUCCCAGAAUAUCAAACGACACGUUAAAUAUUCACAAGAAUGAGAAAUCCCAUCAUGGAUAGUUGGCACCACGAUUAAUAUAAUCCCACCAACCACAAGCUCUUUGGCUCUUGCAUCCAAAAAUAUCUCCAUAUCCUUUUCGAACUGGGUGGCGUAUGCUUUGCAUACUUCAUCUGAGGCACUAGUGUAGAAAAUUCUGCCCUUGUUCCAAACAGGAGAGUGGUUAUUUAGAAUCUCUUCUGGCAUCUGAGUUAGCCAAUGCAAUGAAGCGGAAGUGUGCAUUAGAUGAAGAGAGGACCUGGGGAAUAACCACCCAUGGAAUGACCCUGGCACGCCAGCAGCAAAGUAUCCCCUGUUUGGAUGUAGAGAUCUAAAUAGAGUAUUGAAAUCAUUCAAGACAUGAUCAUUGAGGAACACUUGAAAUUCAGGAAUUGGGGAAGCCAGACCUUGAGAAUGACACUUAUAUUUCACUGCUUCAAUAAUAUUUUCCAUACAAAUAAAGGUAUUUGGCCCAACUGAACAUCCUAAAUCCGCAAUGAACUUGAAGGACCAAAAAUGAGAUCGUUUAUGUUCAGAUUACGAGCAAUUGCCUCAUCAAUCAAACUUCCAGCAUUAUCAAUGACUUCCCUCUGCAAAUAAAGAUCAAAUAAUGCGAAAAAAAAAUUACAUAUAUUUCCUUUUACCAUUUUCUCUAACAUACAAAAUGAGUACCUGAAAUGAGGAAUUGUUAGAGUAGCUGUUGUCGUCAUCUCCUCCUUUCAUUGGAUAUAAUUCCACCAUUGACAUUGUGGCUGUGCUUUGGCUCGUUGUCUCUGUAUAAGCUAUGGGAUGGUUGUGGUGAGAAUUUUCGCAUCUUUUUUUACAUAUAUUAUUAUCAAAAAACUGUGUUAAAAAAUUAUUGUAAAAAGGGUUGUAGCCAUAAAGAGUAGGGUUCUGAUUCAAACUGAAUCAAAUCAAGGCAAAGAAUACUAACCGAAGUUUUUGGACAAUAGAUCAAAUCAAACUGAAAUUGGUAUCUGUACCAAAUCAAAUCAGUUGGUUCGGCCGGAUUUAGUUUGUUGCCAUAUCGAUUCAAUUUUAAGUUAAUUGAUGAAUUUCUAUAAAACUGACUUGAACUAAGUAAUAAAUUCGGUUUCAACAAAAUAAAUCGACAAAUUCGAUUCAAACCAAUCACUGAUCGAACAAAAUCAGAAUGUGUAGAUUUAGUUUAAGAUUCGAUUCGGUCGGUAAUAAAGAGUGGAAUUUUAAAACUUUUAAAAGAUAAACUAUUUUAUUUGUCAUAUAAAUCAAAGUGAUUUUGCGUUAAAAGUAAUGGCUUUCACUUUUAACGCAAAAUCACUUUGAUUUAUAUGAAAAAUAAAAUAAUUUAUCUUUUCAAAGUUUUAAAAUGUCUAUUUAUAAAAUAAUUAAAACUAAUCAAUUUAAUAUUUCUAAAAAAAAAUCAAUUUAUUUGAUAUCGAGCCGAUAUUAGAACCUUGAUAAGUUUAAAGUUUCCAAACCUAUAAUAAGCCUAAGAUGCUGAAAGACAUAACCAACCCAACAUAAUAAUAGCUAGCCUUUUAGCUAAUAAUUUCAUCAUAAAUAUCGGACCAUUCAUGUCCAUAUAAUAACCAAACAUUAACAUUAAUCAAUAUUGCGUUUAUGUCCUUUUAUAAAUUCUUUUGCCUAACUAUUAUUAAUAUUUUUAUAAAUUAAUAUUAGCUUGGCUAACAGACAAUGAUAGCAACAGCAAGAAAACUCAGCUAUCCUGUAAGUGCAUAAUUUCAUAGAAAAAAAAAAAAUACAAACCAUGUGCCGAAUUAGGUAAGCGUAGUGAUUUUCUCCAUUCACAUAAUAGAACACUCAGACAUUUUGCUUAAAGGAUUUGAGCUCUUUCCACUCAGACCAAUUGUUAGUUAAUUUUAUUGGACUUUCAAUGUUAUAAUAGGAUUUUAAUAUUUAUUCAAAUAUAUAAUCUCUCCUAUCUACUCAAUUUUAUUAUCAAUAUCAACUCUUACAAUGUGUUGCUGCUUAUUUAACAUUGAGAAGCAGGUCUUGCCCAUAUCAACAAGAAAACUUUAAAAAGAAAAUAUGCUUGUAAAUUAGAAAUCACAGAGAAUUGAUCACGCACGUUUUAGAGCAAGAAAUACUUGAGAAGUUUCUGCUAAGCUGGCCUGCAACUGGGAAGACAAUUCUUGCGUCUUCUUAAGAAACCGAUCAAACAAUUCAUCUAUAAUCCCACUUCAAAAUUUUGGCUAAUAAUUCAUCUUUUUCAGAUAAAAUAACUAGGACUCAAAGUACCGUGUCUUUCUUGUUCAGCAAUUGCUACAGUAAAAGUACAAAAUCUACUAGUGACAUUCUUGUGUAAGUAGGACUUAAUGGAAAAUGUCAUAGCUCCUAGUUUGUAUGAAAUUCUCCAUACAGUUCAUGCCAAUGCCUACUUUAUAAAGUGGGACAUGAUUUAUCACUGAUGAGAGCAUGGACUCUUAGACUGGAGAAACGAAUAUAAAACAGUCAACAACUUCAAGUUUUAUAAAAGAUGUAUGGAUUGAUUUGAUAUGUUUAUUUGAAAAGUUUAUCUUGAUUCCUAUAUCUUUUUCUUCUUGUCCUCGUUUGUUUUUUUGUGUGUGUGUGUGUGUGUGUGUUUGUCAGGACUUGGUAUUUAUGGUGGAUAAUAUGUGAAUGAGAUAACCAUAUUCUGAUAUUUGCCUUGAUAAAAACUUGUUUGAUGUGUCUUCUUUAUUUUUCUUCAAUUUGAUGUUUUCGUGACCUUAAGUUUAACUCUUAAUUAGAAAAACUUUGUUUAUUGCUAUGCAUGUGGUUCUACCCAUAGCUGUUUAUAUAUAAAUAUAUCUAUUUUUUCCCGAAGUCAUUUUGCCCACAAUUGGAUAUAACUAUAACAUAUUUCCAUAAAGGGCUUUAUAUAUCUCCAUUUUUUUUUUUUGGGCAGUUACAUUUUGCUCCAUCUCUCAAAGUCAAGCAAUUUCUUAAUUUUAAUAAAUUUGUUGUUUGUCCAGGACACAGCAAGGGCCAUUCUGAAGAAUGCUGCUGGCGUGGUGGUUAUUGAUGAUCGGGCAUCCAAUCACUUCCCAACGCCAUUGGAGAUAUCAAACAAAGAUGAUGUUGCAGUCGGUAGAAUCCGCCGUGAUGUUUCUCAAGAGGGGAAUCAUGGGUAAAACUCACUUGCAAGCUAUUUUUUUUUUUUUCCCACUAAAUAAUUAAAUAGCCUUUAUAGACCAUCUUACUAAUGCUGGAAUUCCAAGCAGGUUGGAUAUAUUUGUUUGUGGGGAUCAGAUACGCAAGGGCGCUGCACUUAAUGCCAUUCAGAUUGCUGAGUUGCUGCUAUAGUCCCCUUUAGUUUUAGUUUUAGGUUCCAUAUAAUGCUCUUAUUUAGUGUGAUGAGGCCAGGUGGUUUUGGAUCAUAAGCUAUUUUCUAGUCUUCACUUGCAGAUAUUCAUUGAUAUAAUGAGGUUGAGCAAAUUCGAAAAGUUCCUGUACUAUAAGUUUGUUACGUUGCCCCUUUGAAGUUUCACUUGAUUGUAUUCAUAUGCUCUGUCUUUACAAUGAAGUAAAAUUUUGUUAUAUUGUAUUCAUAUGCCAUAGCUGGACACUGUAUGAGGAUGUAUUGCAGUAGACUCAUUGAAUCUCAAUCUACUGCAAUGGGAUAUUUCUCGCUCGCAUAUUUUAUGUACAAAGAUUCUCUUACCAUUGAGUAAGUCAUAGCCUCCAAUCGGACCAAUCCACUUAACAAGAAAAGAUCACUAGUUGUUCUUUCUCUCUUUCUUUUUUGGAUUUGCAUGUGUGAUUUCAUAUUCGGGUCAGGACUGGUGUUCAGAUGCUCCGUGAAGACUGGUAUUAUAGCGACUCUUGGUAUGCUACCACAUUACUAAGCCUUAAUUUUUCACAGAAAUUGUGAUGAGGAUAUCGGAGAAGCAACUCAAGAAGCAGCGUCCUGUUAAACAUUUCGACAUUUUUCCUGAAGGAUUAUUCUGUGACCGAGGACACAAGCUCACUCCAAAAGUUUAUUCUCUUGUUACAUUUUUUAGGGUCAAGUUUGAACUAUACAUGAAAGCCGAUCCCACCUCUCAUUCACUAGCAAGUUGAGGAAUUGACUCUCCAUGGGAAGCAUAAUUAGUGAGAAUAGUUUUUAUUUUUCAUUUCAUGCAUUAGAAAUUCUUUUAUGGCACCGUUUGGAAAAGUUUAUAUGCAAUAAUUUUUCAACUUAUAAUUGUAUUAGAAGAAUUGAAUUUCAUUCUUAUAAUCUUAUGUAAAAAUUGUUUCACGUACCAUGUAAAGCGGUAAUGAAUUCAAUUUAUUAUUUUAUUUUCUUCAUUAUCUAUGUUUAUUCAAAUAAAUUCAAUAAUAAUCCGAAUGAAGUAGUUCGGUGAUAAAGAAUACUUACGGAGUAAAUCACUAUGAUUUGAGUCAUAGGUUUGAUCCUCCGUCAACGCAAAUUUUUCUGGGCCAAUCCUUUUGCCUCCAAAAGCGAGUAAAAAUUAAUUAGAUUUGUGGGUUGUCAAAAUGGACACGGGCCGAAUACUUCGAGCAAUGCCUCAAUUUGACAAUUAACUUCUGAAAGGGUUUUGGAUUGAUUGACAUAUGUUGUUUAAAUUUGUAACUAUAUUCUACAUUUUUUUUUUUUUGCUUGUCAUGUUUAAACAGGAAUCUAAACACAGACACCUGAGAGAGUAAACUAAUAUUUUUAUUUUUCUUAUUGAUAAAAAACUAAAUAAAUCUAAUUAAUAUUAGUUACAAAUAAUUUCUUUUAAUAAAUUUCGCUUGCUUAAUAAAAAAUCUCAUAAAUAAAAUUUCCUUGUGUUAUUUAAAUUAAAGACAUAAAACGAGUAAACUAGCCAUCCUAUUCCUUCCCUCGUAGGAAUCGGAGAUUGGCCACUUACGCAGUCAAAGCAAAAGCGGUUGAGUUGAGUUGAGAAGGAUGGAUGAUUAAAAACGGCGUUAAGGUUUUAGCUAAGGUCGUCAACACUUGAUAACUUCAUCUUCUACUUCACGAGGAAGUUUAAACUUUCAAAGAAUAAUUAUUUAAGGUAACGACAAAGGUUCUCUCUUGUGGAGAGCAGGAUGAGGUGGCCCCUUCCUUCCUUGCAAUUAGCAAUGAUAGAAAACCUUAUUUUCCUUUGUCCUUUCCAAGUUUCUUCUAUUUCCAUAAAAUACAUAAGGAACGUUUACUCUCUUAUCCAUGUAAAUACUGUAACAUUUACAGUGGUGUUUAGAUUUUAAGAGGAGGAAUAAUGAAAUGUUAUUUUUUUAAAUAUUUAAUAAAACGCCAAUAAAACAAUUCAUGGUUAAAUAUUAUUAAAAUAACGAAAUUUACACCGUCUUUUUUAGAUAACUUUCUAAUAAAUUUUUAUUUAUUUAUUGAAAUACCUUGAUAUUUUAAAAAUUGUUACUUAUUAAAAAAUGUUAUUCAAAAUCUUCUAAAAGAACAUUUUAUUCAAACUAAAAAAAUCACUCAUUUAACACUGUUUACAUUAAUUAACUAGUUAUUUGUUCUAAUAGGAUACAAGUUACCUUGAAUGAUAAUUAACUUAUUUCAACUAAGACAUGAAGCGGAAUGUUAGAAAAUCGUGAGUUAUCUAUUUUGAUAAAAGAAAAUAGUUAUCCUAGUUCUAUUUGAUACCUUUUUUUUUUCCUCAAAUACUUAUUAUAUUUAGAUAUUUCACUUCUCUUAAUUAAGAAAAUCAUUUAAUUUAUAAUAAAUUAUUCAGUGAGUUUAUUAUAUUAUUUUUAAUUUUUUAUUUGAGUUAAAAUCAUUCAACUGAUAUUGAUCAUAAUAAAAUAAAAAAUUUAUUAUUUAUUAAAUCCAUGAAUGUAAUAAGUAUUUAAUAUAUAUAUAUUUUUAAAUUUGACAAGUACUUGCGGUAAUGGUUUUUAGGGUAAAAAUUCAAGAUUUGGAAAUGGAGACAUUUUUUGAAACUUGCAUGUAAGAUUGCAAGUGAUUGGAUAAAUUGGUAUCAGAGACCGCGAUGUAUUCACGCGGAGGAGUGGUCCCAAUAAACGGGACAAUAAUAUGGGCUUUCACUAUAGUGUAUCCGGACUACAAGCAUUAUAUAAACACUAUCCAAUAGUUUUUAUCCACGUCAGCAAAUUCAAGCAGUAGCGUCCGUUACUUACCGCGUUAACGUAUGUCGACGUCAUAAUAAACGUCAACCUAGAAAGAGUGCUGCGAUGGAGGGAAUCAUGGCUUUUUUUUUUCUUCUUGUGUACGAGGGCAACACAGUGUCACAGAGAGACUUACAUUGACUGAUUGGAGAAAAAGCAGAUGAAAAUUUGCUUGCUCAAAGACAGAGAAAGAGCGACUUGAAUGUGAAACUGUUUCUAUCGCUGGUUUCGUUUCUGGUUUCUUGGAUGAGAACUGAAGUGGUUUAAUUUGAGUGAGCGAGUGAUAAUUUGGUUUCUUUAUUUUACUUUUCUGGUAAGGUCUCAAACCUUUAUUUGAUUCUUUGAUUGCUUUCUUUCCAAGUAUAAUUUCCAGAAUGUGGAUACAUCCAUUAAAAAAAGUUUUCAUCCUUAUGCUAAAUUUUACUUUUUUUGGGAGUCUGUUUUCUUUUAAUUUUUAGAUAAAUGAGAUUGCUUUAUUAGCCUCUUUAGUGUAGGUGGCUUUGAUUCUGGAAUACAUAUAUUAUUGAUGUACUCUAUGAGUGUUUUGUGUUAUCAGAUUCGUAGUUGAUUUUUUUUUUUUUUGGCAAUUCUGUGUUUUCUUUUACCAAUAUAUCCAUCUCUCUCUUCUUGUGAAAUUUACUUAGAAAAGGUGAUUCGGUUAUUUUAUUUAUAUCGGCUUGCAAUAGCUGGCAUAUAAUUGGGGCAUUGUGGCUAUAUCUGACAAGGAUCGAUGUGGUAUGGUUUUUGAUAAAGAUUAAUGAUGGAAGAGUAAUAAAAGGAUAAACUUGUUAAUGAUUCAAAAACCAUGCUUGGAUGCUGAACGCAAUUUUAGGUUUUUAGAUUGAGUGAUUUUCAGCUUUUAGCAGUUCUUGAUGAUAGUGUAGUUAUAAGCAUUGUUUUGUUUUUCUUAUUUAUUUCAUUGCAGUGUCUUAUAUUUUUUUGACAUAAGCUAUAAAUUUCAUCACAUCAAUCUGAGUAAAAUGCUUGGCUUCUUUGUGCAUUCCAUUGUUUUUGUGUUAAAUGCAAUGCUAUUUUUUCUUGCCUCUGUUGCUUUCCACAUAGAGUUUGUGUUUUCAAUGAUUCUAUUUAAUCUCGAAUAUUGAUUUCAUUUCAAAAUCGUUAUACUUCAGGUUGUGGUUAACAUGUAUUUGGUGCUGAUUCUGGACAUGCGUGUAAACCCUUUGAUUCUCCACAUUUGUUCGGAGUUCAUAUUUAGAUUAUGCUGAUAUAAUUAUUCAUUAAGGAAGCCAUUGAUUAAAUUCAUAACCAGCACAUGGUGGAUCCUGCAUUAUUUUGCCAUAGUAGUUACAGAGUCAUAUUUGGAAGCUUGUGGGGGUCUGUUCAUAAUCACGAAAUUUUUAUUUAUAAGUUAUUACCUUUCAUAUUUUCUACAUUGGAUUAGCUUUAUGAUUGACCGCAUGACAAUGCCUACAAGAAAGUUAUACUCAGAAUCUUUGAUCAUUUACAUUGUGGAAGUGCAUAUCUCCCUAAAAAUUUCGGAGCGUUAGUAUCUGUAGUGGGUGAUUCAGUUUGUUCUAUUUUGACUACAGAAUUUCUUUGAUGGGUAAGACGAUUCAGGUGUAUGGAUUCCCUUCCCAUGUGACUGUAGAUGAAGUCAAGAAGUUUCUGGAAUCACAUUCAGGGGAAGGAACUGUUUUUGCAAUGAAGAUCAGGGAAACCAAAAAUAGGGGUCGAAGAAAAUAUGCUAUUGUUCAAUUCCAGACUGCCAGAGAUGCUGAAUUAAUUAUAUCUUUGACUAAUAAACGUCUUCGGUACGGCACUUCAUAUCUCAAGGCUCGGCCUUUGGAUAAUGAUAUUGUACCAAAGCCCAGAACGUUUUUACACAGCAUGGACCAUAUAACACUGCAUUUUGGAUGUCAGAUAUCAAAAGAAAAGUUUUCUGUUCUAUGGACAGGGACAAAUGUUUCGGUGAAUUUUGGAUUUGGAAUGAGAAAAUUGCAAUUUUUUCUAUCUCAUGGACAAAUGGGCUACAAGCUUGAACUUUCUUAUGAGAAUGUUUGGCAGAUGGAGCUACAUUGUCCACGAGGUCGAUCUGUGAAAUAUCUUCUAAUUCAGGUUUCUUCAAUAUAUUUUAUUUAAUUUUUGGAUUAUUAAAUACCGUUUCUUGAUACUCUUACAGCAUUUUUCUCUGUUAUUUGAAAUUCUUUAUAGGGCUUUUUCGAACCUUGGAAAUGCCUUUUUUGCCCUGUUAUUUAUUGCACGGAUGAACUAUGUUUUCCUUUUACAUAAACAAAUUGUUGAGCUGCAUAGUGGGCAUAGUAAUUAAAGGCGCAAGGGGCACCUAUGCGCAAAGAGCUAUUGGAGCCUAGGUGCUAGCCUGAGUGAAGUGAGGCGCGAAAAUUAGAAAUAAAUAAAACACAUAAACAAAAAAAAAGGCAACAAGACAAGUUAUAUUGUAAGAUAUUGGAGUUAAGAUAGAAAAGUAAAAUCACGAAAUGAAAAAAAGAAAAAAAAGAAAGAAAGAAUAUAGAAAGCAAAUUGGAAGAGAAAUUGAGAGAGGCAUGUCUGAAUGGCUGUUAGCCAAAGGCUAGACUGGAGGGGGUGAGUGCUAGAUGGAGUGGAGGCUGGAUCUAAAGCAUAUCAUUGGUUUUUGUGAUAUAAUGACAAAGGAUUCAUAUGCCCAACCUCAACUAGUUUGGGGUUAAGGCCUUUAUUGUUGUUAUGUUGUUGUAGUAGAUACUGGGCUAGACAGUUUUAUAUUCAAAGGCGACUUGUUAAAACAAAAAUUAGAAAGACGGGCCUUUCUUGGGCCUAAGGCCGAAAAAGGCCCAAAAAGGCUAGUCGCCGGCCUGCGGACUGUUGAGUCAUAAUCCCUUGAAUUUGAAGUUGAACCUUAAGUAAGGCAUGAGGCACGCCUUUAAUGAGUAUGAUGGUGUGAAAAUGAAUUCUCUUAUUAGUAGUAAAUUGAACAAUUUACUUAUAUCUCGGUUACGACUAAAGCAUGAUACAUGCAUGUAUUUUUUUUUUCCUUGCCAUAUGUGGUGUUAUCAAGAAAAUUUGGAUAUUCCUAUUGGUUUGCUUGAACUUUCUGCUGGCUUUUCUAACAGACUGAAUACCUUUUUGAACUAAUAAGUUAAUUAUUUGUUUCUUUUGGUGUCCAAACAUGGGCUUAGAGUUUUCGCUCAUUCGUGGUUUUGAUUUCUUACAUAUGUGUGUCUGCAGUCUGAGUCUAAUUGUUUUAAUUGACAAUUUUUCUACUGGUCAGCCGUGCAUUAUAUAUUUCAGGCAAAAUAAUUAGCAUUCGGAAUAUAGAAAUUGUGCUGAUUAACUCAGAAAGCGUUAAAGCAGUGCUAUUGUUUGACAUGUAUUGAUGUCAAAUAUAUGAUCAGAGACUGGUUUUUAUGCAUGUGAGGGUAUAAAGCACUAGGCACUUGUUAAAAAUUUAAAAUCUUGUCCAAACUCUUGACUGAUGUUUGCUGGUUCUUUAAUCAUUCUGCAGAUAUUUUAACUCUUUUAGAUUUAAGUGAUAUGCUUUAUCUUUAGUUCUCAAUCUUUCAUGCUUCACUGGUCUUCUGCACAUGGUCUGUGCACGUGUCGUUACCCACCUCUGUUUAAAUAACUUACCGUUUAUCCAAAAACUAGCAAAAUAAGGUACUCUUGAUGGAUAGGGGCACAGAGAUUUUAAUAUGGUUUUAUCAAUAAAAUUGGCAAACUUUCUAUCUCAGGGAAUUUGAAAGAGUUGUCCCUUGGUUAAGUUUACUAAUAUGAGGAUCUUAUCAGGCAAGAUAGCUGAAUUCCUUUUUCCUGCUGGUAGAAAUGUGGCAUUUGUGAUUCACUGACUUGCCAAAAUAAAUGGGAAGUGGAAUCUAAGGCCAAGGGUUUACUUACUUGGGAAUUGAAAGGUGCUUACUGUUUUGCUGAAUAAAAAAAAGCUGUAUGUCAUGUAAAAAGUUUCCCUUUUCCUUAUUUUUCUUUCUGUUGGUAAUUUGUGCUUUUAUUGGGUUCAUUUAUGUCAUUAGUCUGAAUGUGAUGCAUACAAUAAUCAAACAAUUUGUGCUAUCUCUUUUUUCAUGUAAGAUUUCAAGUAAAAAUGCAAACUGCUAAUUUGGUUUCUGUUUUUUUAGUUAUAUGGUGCACCCCGAAUUUUUGAGAAAGAGAUUGCAACAUUUAAUGUGUUUGAGAUUCCGCUUUUCAACGACUUGAAGGAUACCCCUGAUGAGCAAUGGGUCAGGACAAUCGAUUUCACACCAUUCUGCCUUAUUGGGCAUUCAUCUGGAUUAUGUUUGGAGUUUCCUUCCAGCAUUAAUGUUCCAAAAUUUCAGGAGAACUUUUCUUACUAUAAAGAAAGUGAAGGAAUUUUUGUUUUGGAGAAUGGCAAUGCUUUUUCUCGCAAUCUGGAUCUAGUUCCGAUUGUUGGUCCUCCCUCAGGCGUUGAUUUGCCAUUUGAGAUAUUAUUUCGAGUUAAUUUGUUGGUUCAGAAUGGGUGCCUUCCAGGGUCAGCACUUGAUUCUAGUUUUUACGAGUUGGUUGAUCCAAGUACAAUGAAUAUUGACUGCAUAGAGCAUGCUCUUAAGAAGCUUUUUCACUUGAAAGAAUGUUGUUAUGACCCUUCUAGGUGGCUUGAUGAGCAGUACAGAAAGUAUCUUAAGUCUAAGUGCCAUCCAAGAUCACCUUCGAUAUCCCUAGGCUCUGGUUUGGUAUACAUGCGUAGGGUCCAAAUUACACCAUGCAAAGUCUAUUUUUGUGGUCCAGAGGUUAAUGUCUCAAACCGUGUGAUACGCCACUAUUCAAAAGAUAUUAAUAAUUUUCUCCGUGUGUCUUUUGUUGAUGAGGAGUUAGAGAAAAUUUAUUCAACAGAUUUAUGUCCCCGUGCUUCUUCUGGGAAUGGGGAUAGGAGGACUGCUAUUUACAAAAGGAUUCUCUCUACUCUCCAAAAUGGAAUAGUUAUUGGAAAUAAAAGGUUUGAGUUCCUUGCCUUUUCAUCUAGCCAGCUGAGGGAAAAUUCUUGCUGGAUGUUUGCUUCAAGAGACGGGCUCACUGCUGCAGAUAUAAGAGAAUGGAUGGGAAACUUUCGUCAGAUACGAAACGUGGCUAAAUAUGCAGCCAGAUUAGGUCAGUCUUUUGGUUCAUCCACUGAAACACUGAGUGUUAGUAGAAAUGAAAUUGAAAUUCUUCCAGAUGUAGAGGUUGAAAGGGGCAGAACCAAAUAUUUGUUCUCUGAUGGAAUAGGCAAAAUAUCUGCUGAGUUCGCUCGGAGAGUGGCGUUGAAAUGUGGGCACCAAGGUUUCUAUCCAUCUGCAUUUCAAAUUCGUUAUGGUGGGUAUAAAGGUGUUGUGGCUGUUGAUCCAACUUCUUCUAAAAAAUUAUCAUUGAGAGAAAGCAUGUGCAAGUAUGAGUCUGAAAAUACAAAACUGGAUGUUUUGGGUUAUAGCAAGUAUCAGCCUUGUUUUCUGAAUCGCCAAAUGAUUACUCUUCUUUCGACCCUUGGUGUUGCGGACCAUAUCUUUGAGAAGAAACAGAGAGAAGCUGUUGAUCAACUAGAUGCCAUUUUAACAAACUCGUUAAGGGCCCAAGAAGCACUAGAUUUGAUGUCUCCAGGAGAGACCACUAACAUUCUCAACGAAAUGCUUUUGUGUGGUUAUCAGCCUGAUGCUGAACCAUUCCUUUCAAUGAUGCUCCAAAUGUUCCGAGCAUCAAAGUUGCUUGAUCUGCGGACAAAAUCUAGAAUCUUUGUUCCAAAUGGAAGAUCUAUGAUGGGAUGUUUGGAUGAGACAAGAAACUUGGAAUAUGGCCAGGUAUUUGUGCAAUUUUCUGGUAGUAAACAUAAGCAGGUGUAUGAUAGUUCCACCAUGGUUGGAGGCAUUGGAUCAGGCAACGGUUUUGUGAUUGAGGGAAUGGUCAUUGUAGCUAAAAACCCAUGUCUGCACCCAGGUGAUAUUCGUGUUUUAAGGGCUGUGAAUGUACCAGAUUUGCACCAUAUGGUGGACUGUGUUGUUUUUCCACAGAAAGGACCAAGGUAUAUCUCUGUCUCUUCCAGCCUUAUAGCUUAGGUCAUUCUUUAGUUACGUCAAUUUGGUUUCUGGUUUGAGUUGUCUGUGCCGAAGUUCUAUAUUUAUAACUUAGAGUUCUUAGAUUUACUUUUCCAGUUGCAUUUGCAAAGGGUUCAGAUUUGAAAAAUAUAAAAAUCCCUGCUUUUUUCAUGCAAGACAGAGGAAUUUACCUUUUAUCAAAAGAGAACUUGGAAAUAUGCUCUCUUCUUGUCUACUUUCCAAUAUCAUUUCUCUAUUCUCCAAUGGGCUCUGAACCACAAAGUCCCAACUUUAAAGAUAGCUGGACUCAGUUAUAUAAGAAUGAGAGAGGGAUAGAAAGUUGUGUAUGUGCAGCUAUGUUCCUAUAGAUGUUUAAGUUCUUAUCUUCUGGGUGUCUUUCACAGCGGAUUGAACCUUAUAAUAUCAUUGUUGUUAUUGUAGUUAAUCAUUAUUGCUGUUAUUAUGAUGUUCGCUGUCCAUGUUAUCAUCAUCUAUAUGAUAGUUCUACUUCUGUUGUGUCUGCCUAUGUUUGGGCUAUUUUGGCCUACUUCUGUGGUAUUACUGUAGGAAACUAGUUGGGUUGUGAGAUAACUAGGUCUGUCACAUCAGCUAUAAUGAAUUCUUUUCUGUAAGAUAACCACUCCCUUCAAUGAAUGUAACUGGUAUCUGUGUUCCCUUUUAUUAUUUGACAUGUGCAGUAGGCUUCUUGUGGAUAACAGUCGAACGUACCAAUGGAAACUCCUGCUUCCUUAGAAAUACCUAGUCUAUAUUCUGUGGACAUUGCUUCAUCAUCUCUGAUUUAUUUGUCUGAUGAAGCUGACUGACAGAGGCAGGUUGUUAUUAUUGUUUCUAUUUUUUUUUUUUUGUGGGGGGGCGGGGGUGGGAAAGAGAGUUUGGUGGUUGGAGGUUGCAGGGGGAAGACUCCUGUGCUUUGGAAUUUCAAUUGACACUAACAUGGACACCUCACCUCUCUUUGUUUUUCAAGUGCUAACAGAGUAACAGACUAGUAUUAUAGUGCCCCUUUUCAGAUUUUUAUUUUUAUUUUUAUUUUUUAUGUGUGAAAACAGUAUUAACAUUAGUAUCUGAAUUGCAAUUUUAGACCUCAUCCAAAUGAAUGCUCGGGUAGUGAUUUAGAUGGAGAUAUCUACUUUGUCUGCUGGGAUCCUGAUUUAAUCCCACGUCAGCAACUCCCACCAAUGGACUAUACACCACAGCCAAGUUUGCAACUCGAUCAUGAUGUCACAAUUCAGGUACUACAUGUGUACAUAUGAAAUGUCGGAGCAAUUAUCUAUCAUCAACAAUAAUACUAUUGUUUCGCUAUCUUUUAAGAUUAUUCAGUCACUUCAUCAAUUUUUUUCUCUUCUAUGGUACAUUCUGGUAUUGUCAAACAUAAAGCUGCAAUGCUUCAAAAAUACAUACGUUCCUUAAUUUUUUUUUCUUUAUGACAGAGGAUUUAGUUUUGUACAUAGGUUCAAUACUAAUAGGUGUUUACUUUUAAUUUUUGUUUUUCCUUGUGGUGCCUUUAUUUCUGUAUUAUGAUGACUUUACUCCACCUGCAUCUUUUAUGUGUCAAAAGUCUUUUUUUUUUUCUGGAUUAGUUUGCUCUUAUGUGUCUAUAGCAUAUGCUAAUAGACAUGCAUAUGGAUUUUUCUUAUUAUAUAAAGCAAGAAUUUACACAAUUUACAAGAAAAAUAAGAAGCAGAUGGAAAGGGAAUUGCUGAUUAUCUUGUUUUCUGAAUCUCAGGGAAGCUGCAAAAGCAAACUUUGGCCCGGGCCUUUUUAAUUUAUGUGACAAUGAUAUCUUGUACUUUUUAAUUCUUUUAGCUAUCUCAUUUGUGCAAUUUUAAGCAAAAAUCUAACUGUUUUUUUUGGUCCCUCUGGGCACAAUGCUUCAUUUUUGUGUAAAAGUGGAUGCUUCAAACUACAACGCAAUGUAGUUCAGUCCAAGAGGGUCAUUAUUCUAUCAACCUCAUAACUAGUCCUUUUUUUGAAUGCUUAAAAAAAAAAUAAAAAAUAAAAGGAAAUGUGAUUCUGAAAAAUCCUUUAGAACAGUGAAAUCUUAGGUUGUGUACCUGUAUGCAUCAAGUUCUAACUGCAAACUCUGUUUUUUGCUUUAGCUUGAUUUUUUUUUUUUUAAUCAUGCAGCUAGAAAACCGCAUUUCCCUUUUAUUCAGAGAUUUUCAUUUUGCUUUCUACAGGAAGUUGCGGAGUAUUUCACCAAUUACAUCUUAAAUGACAGCUUGGGAAUCAUUUCUAAUGCUCACACCGUCUUUGCUGAUAGGGAACCUGAAAAAGCAAUGAGUAAACCAUGUCUGGAACUUGCAAGUAAAUUUUCAAUUGCAGUUGAUUUUCCAAAAACUGGAGUACCAGCUGAAAUUCAUUCUCAUCUACGUGUCAAAGAAUAUCCUGAUUUCAUGGAAAAGCCUGACAAACCCACCUAUGAAUCUCAGAAUGUGAUUGGAAAGCUUUUCCGAGCAGUGAGAGACAUCGCACCACAUACAAGCUCUAUUAAGUCCUUUACUUUGGAAGUGGCAAGGCAGUGUUAUGACCCUGAUAUGGAAGUUGAUGGUUUUGAGGAUUAUAUAGAUGAUGCCUUCUAUUACAAAACGAAUUAUGAUUACAAAUUGGGUAAUCAUAUGGACUAUUAUGGCAUCAGAACUGAGGCUGAAAUUCUCGGUGGAAGUAUUAUGAAAAUGUCAAAAGCUUUCACCAAGAAAAGGGACGCAGAAGCAAUUGGUUUGGCGGUGAGGUCCUUAAGAAAAGAAGCAAGAUCUUGGUUUAAAGAAAGGGGAAGUGGAUUAGAUUCUGAAGAAGAUGAUGUUUAUGCAAAAGCCUCCGCUUGGCACUAUGUUACUUAUCAUCCUAGUUAUUGGGGGCGCUACAACGAGGGAAUGAAUCGAGAUCAUUUUCUUAGCUUUCCUUGGUGUGUUUAUGACAAGCUGAUCCAGAUCAAGAGGAAGAGAAGGUGUCAACAUUUAUCAUCGCUUGAACGCCAGUUUGGGCUUCGACUGCGUUUUCAUUAACAAAUCUGAAAUUUCGAACAUGUCUUUAUGUUCGUAGUCUUGGUUUGAGUUUGCCAGCUAAUCCAGAUCAGCGGAACAAAUCAAGGAUCAACCAGGUUCCUACUUUUUUCUCUUUACACAUUUUCCAUGUAGAUGUGGACUGCUUUUGAGUUUAGAAGGUAAUCAAAAUAUAUGGCUAUACAUAUGGUUAUGAAUAUGUAAUAUUUCAAAGACAAUAUAUGAUGUAAAUGUUUAUGUUCUUAUAAUGGCACAAACAGAAAUACCUACUUAGAGUUGACAACAUUUUUUGAUAGGAUAUUGAAGACUAUUGAUAUUUGCCUGAUUGUUGAUGCAUUAUCCAUAUUUAGGUGUUAUAUAGCCUUUUCGAGAUACAUGCUAUUCUAGUCGAGCAUGAUCGGUGUUUGUUUUUCGCUGCAAAUAAUGGGUACUGAUAAUUUGAAUGUUUAACAACAUUUAUUAGUCAGUUUUUCUGGUAUGUAUAAUAAAAGCUGCACUGCUAAUUGUUGAUAUGAUAGCUUUUGAUUAUAGCGAUUUUCGUUUCAGAAUAACAGUUAAUUGAGAUCCUUUUCCAUUGCUUGAAAAUAACGAGGGCGUAGCUUCAUGCAUUCUCUCGAGGAACCGUUCUAACAAUUCAUUAACAAUCUCAGCUCCAAAGCGCUUGGUAAUGACUGGUUCUAACCCAGAUUUGAAAUGCAUCAUGAUUGUAUAUUCAGUAGGUUGAUUAUCAGGGUCGCAUUCGCAAUCUGUAGGAUCCAUUCUUCCAAUGCUAAAACACCCACUUUGUUCUAUAAGCUGUGUAAGCUCCUUGGGCGUUACACAGNNNNNNNNNNUCACAUAUUAAUCCCUGCAAUCAGGAUUUUGAUUUGGUUAUUUACAUGUUUUAAAUUUUCAUGGGGUUUCACUGUUAUCGUUAAUAUUUAACUUUUCAAACUGUUAUCGUUAAUAUUUAACUAUUGACCAACUAUCAUUAAAAGCUGAUUUUCCAUUGCCGAAUCAAGCAGACCCCUAAAUCUAUGAUUUCAUAUAAUCCACCAGUCUAGUAGGUUUCUAUAUUAUUACCUCUUUUGCCAUGUCCAGAAGGCACGACCCAAAAUGAUUCAGCAAUACCCCGGUUGGUACAUUUGACGGAGAGACCCCAUCAGGAAUAGAAGGAAUGAUUAGCACCAUCAUGCUCCCCUCUGCAAAUUCUUUUGCUCUGGCAUUCAUGAACAUCCCCAUAUCCUUGCUAAAUUGGGCGGCAAAGGCUUUUACUACUGCUUCUGAUGCACCUGUAUAGUGAACUCUCCCUCCGUUCCGUGCAGGAGAGUCCAUGUCCAACACCACUGCAGGAACGCCAGAAAGCCAAUGUAAUGUGUAAGAGGAAUGCACAAAAUGGAGAGAAGAGUCAGGAAACAACUGGGUAUGAUAUGACCCUGGUACCCCUGCUGUAAAAUAUUUCCUUUGAGGUGGGAGAGACUUGAAAAGGGUAUUAAAGUCGUUAAAUGGAAGAUCAUUAAAGAAAACUUGAAACUGAGGUAUUUGAUCGUAAGUGAAGCCUUCAUUUAUGAACUUUCGCUCCACAGCUUCAAGUAUACUAUGAACAUAGUAAAAGGUGUUUGGUCCUGUUGAACAUCCCAUAUCAGCUAUACAAAAUGCCUUGCUACAUGAAGUUGAUAAAAAUGACUUCGUUUCAAGCUUCUCAUGGAUUGUCUCAUCAAUUAUUCCCUUCAAGAAUUCCAGAAUCCAUUUCUGCAAAAACGACUUUGAGCCAAACUUAAUUUUUGAUAAAAAAAUUGAUAAAAUUAGUAAUUUCUAUAUGAUGUAUUUCAACAUUUUUUCAAUAUCUUACAAGUAAUCAUGGACACGGGUUAAUAUUUAAAAUUUUGCAAAUAAAAAAUUAUGAAACCUCAAUAAAUCAAAGUUUCUAAAAAAUAAAUUUUACUUUUUCAGUUUUAAAAUAUUUUUAUUUUUAUUUCAAAAUUAAUAUCAGUAAAAAUAUAAUAAACUGUGGUUUUAUCCAUAACAACUAAUUUUUAUUUUUAAACAAUUUUUUCAUAAAAAUUUAUGAUUUAUUCUAAAAUAAUUUUUUUAAUUGAAAAUAAUUGUAUACUUUUCUAAACACAUAAAAGUUAAUUCCUUAUUAGUUUCUGAAAAAAAAAAUUCCUUAUUACUUUUCUUGGAAUAAUUUCAAGCCUCCAACCUUGACAGUUCCCAAGGAGGCAGGACAAUCGGAGGAAGACGAUGAAGAAAGGGUCAGAGAAAGAAAGCUUAAGGGCAUCAUUUGUUAUUUUAAAAUAAUUCUCUCCUCCCUCUUUUUUUUUUUUUUCAUCUUUUAACGGAAAACUCAUAUAUGUUUUUGACGGAAGCACAGAGACGGAAUCAAAUCUUGGAGACUAAAUGUUUAAUAUACAAUGAUUGGAGAACAAGAUAAUUAAUUUUGUAAAACCUCAAAUUAUAAUAAUUAUUUUCCAAAAAAAAAAAUCGUUGCAUCUUCUUAAGAAACCGGUCAAACAAUUCAUUUGCAAUCCCACUUCCAAAAUGUUUGCUAAUACUUCCUUCCAGUGCAGCUCUCCAGUGCUUUGUCAAUGUUUUUCCGUUGGUCAUAACAUCAAUAGCCGAAAAAGCUUUAAAUAACUCAAUUCUCUCAAUAAUGAAGCAACUGUUUCUUUUUACAAGUUCUGUCAUCUCCUUAGCAGAUGGAAUAUAAAUGGGGAGAUUGAACGAGUCCACUUGCACUUCUCUCACCAAUCCCUGUGCAUGUUUAAACAAAAAUGGAUUAAUUACAAUGGAGAAUUUCUUUAUGGGCGAGCUAUAACUUGUAAGGUCAUGAAUUUGAAUUGAAACAUUCAAAAAUAAGGGUAAGAUGCAAACAAUGGAGUACCUCCCAAAACCAUAUAAUAAGAUGCACAAAGAUAUCAAAUUUUACAAUAAGAUUACAGUAUGAUGAAGUAUAAUUGUAAUAACUGAUAUAAUUAAAUGUAUUUUUAGUAUAAUCACGAGUUCUCAAACUGACCUCUCUAGCCAUGUCCAUGAGGCUAGAUCCCAGAAUAUCAAACGACACAUUAAAUAUUCACAAGAAUGAGAAAUCCCAUCAGGGAUAGUUGGCACCACGAUUAAUAUAAUCCCACCAACCACAAGCUCUUUGGCUCUAGCAUCCAAAAAUAUCUCCAUAUCCUUUUCGAACUGGGUGGCAUNNNNNNNNNNNNNNNNNNNNNNNNNNNNNNNNNNNNNNNNNNNNNNNNNNNNNNNNNNNNNNNNNNNNNNNNNNNNNNNNNNNNNNNNNNNNNNNNNNNNNNNNNNNNNNNNNNNNNNNNNNNNNNNNNNNNNNNNNNNNNNNNNNNNNNNNNNNNNNNNNNNNNNNNNNNNNNNNNNNNNNNCCCCUGUAUGGAUGUAGAGAUCUAAAUAGAGCAUUGAAAUCCUUCAAGACAUGAUCAUUGAAGAACACUUGAAAUUCAGGAAUUCGUGAAGCAAGACCUUGAGAUUGACACUUAUAUUUCACUGCCUCAAUAAUAUUUCCCAUGCAAAUAAAGGUAUUUGCCCAACUGAACAUCCCAAAUCCGCAAUAUUAAAUGAGCUUGAAGAACCAAAAAGGAGAUCUUUUAUGUUAAGAUUAUGAGCAAUUGUCUCAUCAAUCAAUCUUUUGGCAGUAUUAAUGGCUUCUCUCUGCAAAUGAAGAUCAAAUAAUGAGAAAAAACAGUCUUUUAAACAUUUUCUCUAAUAUAUAAAAUCAAUACCUGAAAGAAGGAAUUUUUGUGGUAGCUGUAGUCAGCAUCUCCUCCUUUCAUUGGAUAUGAUUCAGCCAUUGUCUCUGUAUAAGCUAUGCAAUGACGAUGGUGGGAAUUCAAAAACCCAACCUGCUCUUAUAUGCUCAUUAAUAGAAUUUUCGCAAUCUUGUCUUCGUUAUUACCAAAAUUUGGUGCUGAAACAGAUUGCAGAUGGCAAUGACGGUAACAACUUCAUCAUCACUGACAUCAUGAACCAUCCAGAACUUGUUGAAUAAUUAUACUCUCCAGAAGUUGUUGAAUAAUCUUAGUAGGAAAAUGCAGAAGACAUAACUUUAUUACUAGACUUUUAUCACUGUCGAUUAAUCCAACCGUGACUGGUCUAGUGUAGUCGGUAAGUAUUCUUAGACAAAGUUAGAAAUUAAACUGAACGCACUAACGGUUGAGCGAAUCAGAAGAAAAUAAAAAUCAAAAUGAAAAGCAAAAUAAUUUGAAUAAAAUAAAUAAAUCAACAAAAAUAGCCAUGGCUAUAUGAGAGGAUUUGAGAGAUUCGGUGGGGUUGUUGAGAUGGUUUAAUUCAAAAAUUAAAAAUGUUGCUGAUAGAUAAGGUUGUUCGAUAACUUUUACUUAUGCACUAUUUCAAAAUAAAAUUUUGAUCAUAUGAAAAACAAAAAUUUCAAGAUCUAUAUGUUAGCCUCCUUUGUUGAAAACAAAAGAAAAAAAAAAAAAAGUUUAGCUCAAUCCCGCACCAGGGAGAUGAGCUUUUGAGGGUGGUGAAUUGGCUAUAAAUGGAAGCCAAGGUUUAGGUUUCUAAACACUCUAAAAACACUUGAAUGAAUGUGUUUUAUAUUAGGGAUUUAGAGCUAAGUCUUUUGAAAUCCCUUGUAAUAUAAAAUAUUUGGGGUGUUUUGAGGGUGUCGGGUAGAAAAAUAUUUUGUAAUUGUGAUUGUAAUAAUUUGCCGCAUAGUGAAUAUUUUUCUUGGUUGUCGUUUGGCAACGGCCGUNNNNNNNNNNNNNNNNNNNNNNNNNNNNNNNNNNNNNNNNNNNNNNNNNNNNNNNNNNNNNNNNNNNNNNNNNNNNNNNNNNNNNNNNNNNNNNNNNNNNNNNNNNNNNNNNNNNNNNNNNNNNNNNNNNNNNNNNNNNNNNNNNNNNNNNNNNNNNNNNNNNNNNNNNNNNNNNNNNNNNNNNNNNNNNNNNNNNNNNNNNNNNNNNNNNNNNNNNNNNNNNNNNNNNNNNNNNNNNNNNNNNNNNNNNNNNNNNNNNNNNNNNNNNNNNNNNNNNNNNNNNNNNNNNNNNNNNNNNNNNNNNNNNNNNNNNNNNNNNNNNNNNNNNNNNNNNNNNNNNNNNNNNNNNNNNNNNNNNNNNNNNNNNNNNNNNNNNNNNNNNNNNNNNNNNNNNNNNNNNNNNNNNNNNNNNNNNNNNNNNNNNNNNNNNNNNNNNNNNNNNNNNNNNNNNNNNNNNNNNNNNNNNNNNNNNNNNNNNNNNNNNNNNNNNNNNNNNNNNNNNNNNNNNNNNNNNNNNNNNNNNNNNNNNNNNNNNNNNNNNNNNNNNNNNNNNNNNNNNNNNNNNNNNNNAUUCACUGUGGUUGCAACUUAGUCUGAUCUUCCACAUCAGAAAUACUGUUGUUAGAAAUUAUUUUAUUUUAAAAGCAGGUGGAGUUUUGGAAGUCUUGAAGUGAGUGGAGCUUUGUUUUGGUGUGCUCGAGUACCGGUGGUGAAGGUCCUGACGAUAGUUAUUGAAGUUAUUCUGGUACGAAAAUUCUGAUAAUAUACCGUGCACGUAACUUCUGUCUAGAAGGCCGGAUUUUAAGUGGGACCACUUGUGACCCCUCCGUCCAACUGAGAUUUUACGUGGAAUGGUAAUNNNNNNNNNNNNNNNNNNNNNNNNNNNNNNNNNNNNNNNNNNNNNNNNNNNNNNNNNNNNNNNNNNNNNNNNNNNNNNNNNNNNNNNNNNNNNNNNNNNNNNNNNNNNNNNNNNNNNNNNNNNNNNNNNNNNNNNNNNNNNNNNNNNNNNNNNNNNNNNNNNNNNNNNNNNNNNNNNNNNNNNNNNNNNNNNNNNNNNNNNNNNNNNNNNNNNNNNNNNNNNNNNNNNNNNNNNNNNNNNNNNNNNNNNNNNNNNNNNNNNNNNNNNNNNNNNNNNNNNNNNNNNNNNNNNNNNNNNNNNNNNNNNNNNNNNNNNNNNNNNNNNNNNNNNNNNNNNNNNNNNNNNNNNNNNNNNNNNNNNNNNNNNNNNNNNNNNNNNNNNNNNNNNNNNNNNNNNNNNNNNNNNNNNNNNNNNNNNNNNNNNNNNNNAUUAUAAGCAAAAAUAAGCAUGUUGGCUAUGAGAGGUAAGAUUGAGAAAUUUGACGAGAGCUCUUUAAAAAAAAAGAAAUUUGACGAGAGAAUGAAUUUUGCACUGUGGCAAGUGCAAGUCAAAGACGUGUUGAUUCAGUCUGGACUGCAUAAGGUUUUGCAAGAUAAACCAGUCAGCGGAAAGAAUUCAGGAAAAGAUAGUGGUAGUAGAGACUUAGAAAAAUCCAAGAUUAGCGAUGAAGAAUGUGAGGAGCUGGAUAUCAAAGCGGCAAGUCAAAUUCGCAUGUGUCUAGCAAAAAAUGUUCUUGGAUUGUCCACGACAAAGGAGUUGUGGGGAAAACUGGAAGAAUUAUACUAGGGAAAAAAUAUAUCCAACAGGUUAUAUUUGAAUGAGCAAUUUCAUAUGUUGAAAAUGACAGAAGGUACAAAGCUAUCAAAUCACCUGAGUGUUCUUAACGGUAUCAUCUCUGAAUUGAAAACUCCUGGAGUGCAAACCGAAGAUGAAGAUAAAGCUCUUCGACUCAUCUUGUCACUUCUUUCGACAUGUGAGCAUAUGAAACACGUGACUAAAAUUUGGUUAAGCCCUUCAACUCAAUGAGUUUUAUUCAUUAAACCUUUAAAUUUUAAUUUAUUGACUGUAAAAAAAGAUCCGUUAGUAAUAUGACACACGUGACUAAAAUCAAAGCAUAAAAGACAAGGAUGCUUGAUUAUCAUUCCUUCAGAAAAAAGUCAAGUCUCUCGUUCACAAUUUUCUUAUCAACAUUGACAUUCUUACGAGUGUCGCAGACUUAUUUAACAUUGAAAAGCUAGUCUUGCACGUGUGAACAAGAAAACUUUAGACAGAAAAUGACUUUUAAAUCAGACUACAUCACAGAAGAUCGAACAUUACACACGUUUCAGAGCCAAAAAUACUUGAAAAGCUUAAGUUAAGCUGGCCUGCACCUGGGAGGAAAAUUCUUGCAUCUUCUUAAGAAACCGAUCAAACAAUUCAUCUACAAUCCCACUUCCAAAAUGUUUGCUAAUAAUUCCUUCCAAUGCAGCUCUCCAGUGCUUUGUCAAUGUUUUUCCGUUGGUCAUAACAUCAUUAGCCGAAAAAGCUUUAAAUAACUCAAUUCCCUCAAUAAGGAAGCAACUGUUUCUUUUUACAAGUUCUGUCAUCUCCUUAGCAGAUGGAAUAUAAAUGGGAAGAUUGAACGAGUCCACUUGCACUUCUCUCACCAAUCCCUGUUCAUGUUUAAACAAAAAUGGAUUAAUUACAAUGGAGAAUUUCUGUAUGGGCGAGCUAUAACUUGGAAGGUCAUGAAUUUGAAUUGAAACAUCAAAAAAUAAGGGUAAUAUGCAAACAAUGGAGAACCUCCCAAAGCCAUAUAAUAAGAUGCACAAAGAUAUCAAAUUUUACAAUAAGAUUGCAGUAUGAUGAAGUAUAAUUGUAAUAACUGAUAUAAUUAAAUGUAAUUUUAGUAUAAUCAGGAGUUCUGAAACUGACCUCUCUAGCCAUGUCCAUGAGGCUAGAUCCCAGAAUAUCAAACGACGCAUUAAAUAUUCACAAGAAUGAGAAAUCCCAUCAUGGAUAGUUGGCACCACGAUUAAUAUAAUCCCACCAACCACAAGCUCUUUGGCUCUAGCAUCCAAAAAUAUCUCCAUAUCCUUUUCGAACUGGGUGGCAUAUGCUUUGCAUACUUCAUCUGAGGCAUUAGUGUAGAAAAUUCUGCCCUUGUUCCAAACAGGAGAGUGGUUAUUUAGAAUCUCUUCUGGCAUCUGAGAUAGCCAAUGCAAUGAAGUGGAAGUAUGCAUUAGAUGAAGAGAGGACCUGGGGAAUAAACGCCCAUGGAAGAAUGAACCUGGCACGCCAGCAGCAAAGUAUCCCCUGUUUGGAGGGAGAGAUCUAAAUAGAGUAUUGAAAUCAUUCAAGACAUGAUCAUUGAAGAACACUUGAAAUUCAGGAAUUGGGGAAGCAAGACCUUGAGAUUGACACUUAUAUUUCACUGCUUCAAUAAUAUUUUCCAUACAAAUAAAGGUAUUUGGCCCAACUGAACAUCCUAAAUCCGCAAUGAACUUGAAGGACCAAAAAUGAGAUCGUUUAUGUUCAGAUUACGAGCAAUUGCCUCAUCAAUCAAACUUCUAGCAUUAUCAAUGACUUCCCUCUGCAAAUAAAGAUCAAAUAAUGCAAAAAAAAAAAAAAACUUUAUAUAUAUUCCUUUGAGCAUUUUCUCUAACGUACAAAAUGAGUACCUGAAAUGAGGAAUUGUUUGAUUAGCUGUUGUGGUCAUCUCCUCCUUUCAUUGGAUAUGAUUCCACCAUUGACAUUGUGGCUGUGCUUUGGCUCGUUGUCUCUGUAUAAGCUAUGGGAUGGGGGGGGGGAGAAUUUUCGCAUCUUAUCUUUUUUUACAUGUAUUAAUAUAAAAAAACUGUGUUAAAAAAUUAGUGUAAAAAGGGUUGUAGCCAUAAAGAGUGGGGGUUUGAUUCAAACUGAAUCAAAUCAAGGCAAAGAAUACUAACCGCAGGUUUUUGGACAAUAGAUCAAAUCAAACUGAAAUUGGUAUCUGUAUCAAAUCAAACCAGUUGGUUUAACCGGAUUUAGUCUGUUGCCAUAUCGAUUCAAUUUUAAGUUAAUUGAUAAAUUUCUAUGAAACUGACUUGAACCAAGUAAUAAAUUCGGUUUCAACCAAAUAAGCUGACAAAUUCGAUUCAAGUCAAUCACUGAUCAAACAAAAUCAGAAUGUGUAGGUUUAGUUUAAGAUUCGAUUAAGUCGGUAAUUUUCCACAUCACUAGUAAAGAGUGGAAUUUUAAAACUUUGAAAAAAUAAACUAUUUUAUUUUUCAUAUAAAUCAAAGUGAUUUAAUCACUUUGAUUUAUAUGAAAAAUAAAAUAGUUAAUCUUUUCAAAGUUUUAAAAUUUAUAUUUAUAAAAUAAUUAAAAGUAAUCAAUUUAAUAUUAAAAAAAAAAAACUAAUCAAUUUAUUUGAUAUCAAGCCGAUAUUAGAACCUUGAUAAGUUUAAAGUUUCCGAAACCUAUAAUAAGCAUAACAUGCUGAAAGACAACCAACCCAACGUAAUAACAGCUAGCCUACUAGAUAAUAAUUUCAUCAUAAAUGUCGGACCAUUCAUGUCCAUAUAAUAACCAAACAUUAACAUUAACCAAUGUUGCGUUUAUGUCCUUUUAUAAAUUCUUUUGCCUAACUAUUAUUAAUAUUUUUAUAAAUUAAUAUUAGCUUGGCUAACAGAUAUGGUAGCAACAGCAAUAAAAACCAGCUAUUCUCUAAGUGCAUAAUUUCAUAAAAAAAAAUUACAAACCAUGUGCGGAAUUAGGUAAGCAUAGAGAUCUUCUCCGUUCACAUGAUAGAAUAAUCAAACAUUUUGCUUGAGGGACCUGAGCUCUUUCCACUCAAAUCAAUCCGUUGGUUUUAUUGGACUUUCAAUGUUAUAAUAGGAUUUUAAUAUUUAUUCAAAUAUAUAAUCUCUCCUAUCUACACAAUUUUAUUAUCAAUAUCAACUAUUACAGUGUGUUGCUGACAAUUUUAACAUUGAGAAGCAGGUCUUGCCCAUAUCAACAAGAAAACUUUAGAAACAAAAUAUGCUUGUAAAUUAGAAUACAUCACAGAGAAUUGAUAACGAACGUUUUAGAGCAAGAAAUACUUGAGAAGUUUCUGCUAAGCUGGCCUGCAACUUGGGAGACAAUUCUUGCGUCUUCUUAAGAAACCGAUCAAACAAUUCAUCUAUAAUCCCACUUCCAAAAUAUUGGCUAAUAAUUCCGUCCAAGCCAGCUCUAAAGUGCUUUGUCAGUAUCAAAACCAGAUAAAAACUUGUAUGAUUCAAUUCUCUCAAUAUUGAAACAUCUGUUUCUUUCUACAAGUUCUAUCAUCUCCUUAGCAUGCGGAAUAUACAUGGGCAGAUUAAAAGAGUCCACUUGUGCUUCACUCACCAAUCCCUGGUUAAAACAAAAAUCAAUUAAUAAGGUUACUUUGCAAUAAGGUUAUUUUGGUUCUUGAUAGCGAAUUGAAACUGGUGAAAUCGAAUGUAUUUUUAGUAUAAACAUGAGUUCUUAGGCUGCCCUUUUUAGCCAUAUCCAUGAGGAUAGAUCCUAGAAGAUCAAACAACACAUUACAAGAUUCACAAGAAUGAGAAAUCCCAUCGGGGAUGGUUGGCACCAUGAUCACAACAAUCCCACCAACCACAAGCUCUUUAGCUCUAGCAUCUAAAAAUAUCUCCAUAUCCUUUGCGAACUGGGUGGCAUAUGCUUUGCAUACUUCAGCUGAGGCAUUAGUGUAGAAAAUUCUGCCCUUGUUCCAAGCAGGAGAGUUCUUUUCUAGAAUCUCUUCUGGCACCUGAGAUAGCCAAUGUAAUGCAGUGGAAGUAUGAAUGAAAUGAAGAGAGGACCUGGGGAAUAAACGGCCGUGGAAUGAACCGGGCACACCAGCAGCAAAAUAUCCACUUUCUGGAGGCAGAGAUCUAAAUAGGGUAUUGAAAUCAUUCAAGACAUGAUCAUUGAAGAACACUUGAAAUUCAGGAAUUCGGGAAGCAAGACCUUGAGAUUGACACUUAUAUUUCACUGCCUCAAUAAUAUUUCCUAUGCAAAUAAAGGUAUUUGGCCCAACUGAACAUCCCAAAUCCGCAAUAUUAAAUGAGCUUGAAGAACCAAAAAGGAGAUCUUUUAUGUUAAGAUUAUGAGCAAUUGUCUCAUCAAUCAAUCUUUUGGCAGUAUUAAUGGCUUCUCUCUGCAAAUGAAGAUCAAAUAAUGAGAAAAAACAGUCUUUUAAACAUUUUCUCUAAUAUACAAAAUCAAUACCUGAAAGAAGGAAUUUUUGUAGUAGCUGUAGUCAGCAUCGCCUCCUUUCAUUGGAUAUGAUUCAGCCAUUGUCUCUGUAUAAGCUAUGCAAUGACGAUGGUGGGAAUUCAAAAACCCAACCUGCUCUUAUAUGCUCAUUAAUAGAAUUUUCGCAAUCUUGUCUUCGUUAUUACCAAAAUUUGGUGCUGAAACAGAUUGCAGAUGGCAAUGACGGUAACAACUUCAUCAUCACUGACAUCAUGAACUAUCCAGAACUUGUUGAAUAAUUAUACUCUCCAGAAGUUGUUGAAUAAUCUUAGUAGGAAAAUGCAGAAGACAUAACUUUAUUAUUAGACUUUUUAUCACUGUCGAUUAAUCCAACCGUGACUGGUCUAGUGUAGUCGGUAAGUAUUCUUAGACAAAGUUAGAAAUUAAAGGGAACGCAACAAGUCCCUUCAACUGGUUUAUUUUUCAACACUAACGGUUGAGCGAAUCAGAAGAAAAUAAAAAUCAAAAUGAAAAGCAAAAUAAUUUGAAUAAAAUAAAUAAAUCAACAAAAAUAGCCACGGCUAUAUGAGAGGAUUUGAGAGAUUCGGUGGGGUUGUUGAGAUUAUUUAAUUAAAAAAUUAAAAAUGUUGCUGAUAGAUAACAUUAACCGUUCGAUAACUUUUACUUAUGUACUAUUUCAAAAUAAAAUUUUGAUAAAAUGAAAAAGAAAAAUUUCAAGAUCUAUACUGCCACACCACUAAGCCUUAAUUUUUCACAGAAAUUGUGAUGAGGAUAUCGGAGAAGCAACUCAAGAAGCAGCGUCUUGUUAAACAUUUCGACAUUUUUCCAAAAAGGAUUAUUCUGUGACUGAGGACACAAGCUCACUCCAAAAGUUUAUUCUCUUGUUCUUUUUUUUAGGGUCAAGUUUGAACUAUACAUGAAAGCCGAUUCCACCUCUCAUUCACUAGCAAGUUAAGGAAUUGAUUCUCCAUGGGAAGCAUAAUUAGUGAGAAAUAGUUAUUCUGGGCCAAUCCUGUUGCCUCCAAGAGCGAGCGGGAAUUAAUUAGAUCUGUGGAUCGUCAAAACGGAUACGGGAAGUGGAUCGUCAAAACGGACACGGACUGAAUACUUCGUGUAGUACCUCAAUUUGACAAUUAACUUACGAAAGGGUUUUGGAUUGAUUGACAUAUGUUAUUUAAAUUUGUAACUAUAUUUUACAUUUUUUUUUUUUUGCCUGCUAUGUUUAAAUAGGAAUCUAAGUACAGACAAUUGAGAGAGUAAACUAAUAUUUUUAUUUUUCUUAUUUAUAAAAAACUAAAUAAAUCUAAGUAAUAUCAGUUACAAAUAAUUUCUUUUAAUAAAUUUCGCUUGCUUAAUAAAAAAUCUCAUAAAUAAAAUUUCUUUGUGUUAUUUAAAUUAAAGACAUAAAAUGAGUAAACUAGCCAUCCUAUUCCUUCCCUUGUAGGAAUCGGAGAUUGGCCACUUGAGCACUCAAAGCAAAAGCGCUUGAGUUGAGUUGAGUUGAGAAGGAUGGAUGAUUAAAAACGGCGUUAAGGUUUUAGCUAAGGUCGUCCACAUUUGAUAACUUCAUCUUCUACUUCACGAGGAAGUUUCAACUUUCAAAGGAUAAUUAUUUAAGGUAAAGACAAAGGUUCUCUCUUAGUGGGAAGCAAGAUGAGGUUCCUUCCUAGCAAUUAGCAAUGACAGAAAACCUUAUAUUCCUUUGUCCUUUCCAAGUUUCUUCUAUUUCCAUAAAAUACGUUAGCUUACUCUCUUAUCCAUGUAAAUCUCUAUAAUCCUGUAACAUUUAUAGUAAAAAUAUUUAAUAAAAUGCAAGUAAAACAAUUCAUAGUUAAAUGUUAUUAAAAUAACAAAAUUUACACCGUCUUUUUUAGAUGACUUUUUAAUAAAUUUUUAUUUAUUUAUUGAAAUACCUUAAUAUUUUAAAAAUUGUUACCUAUUAAAAAAUGUUAUUCAAAAUCUUCUAAAAGAAAAUUUUAUUCAAACUAAAAAAAUCACUCCUUUAACACUCUUUACAUUAGUUAAUGAGUUAUUUGUUUUAAUAGGAUACAAGUUACCUUAAAUGAUAAUUAAUCUAUUUCAACUAAGACAUGAAGGGGAAUGUUAGAAAAUCGUGAGUUAUCUAUUUUGAUAAAAAAAACUAGUUAUAAUCCUAGUGCUAUUUGAUACAUUUUUCUUUCUCAAAUAUUUAUUAUAUUUAGAUAUUUCACUUCUCAUAGUUAAGAAAAAUCAUUCAAUUUAUAAUAAAUUAUUCAGUGAAUUUAUUAUAUUACUUUUAAUUUUUUAUUUGAGUGAAAAUUAUUUAACUGCUAUUGAUCAUAUAUAAAGGUUAAAAAUGAAAUAAAUAAUUUAUUAUUUAUUAAAUUUUCAAAUGUGAUAAGUAUUUAGUGUAAUUUUUUUUAAAAUUGACAAAGUAUUUAGGGCAAUGGUUUUUAGGGUAAAAAUUCAAGAUUUGGAAAUGGCGACAUUUUUUGAAACUUGCAUGUAAGAUUGCAAGUGAUUGGAUAAAUUGGUAUCAGAGGCCGUGAUCUAUUUACGCAGGAGUGGUCCCAACAAACGGGACAAUAAUAUGGGCUUUCACUAUAGUGUAUCGGGACUAUAAAUAUUAUAUAAACACUAUCCAAUAGUUUUUAUCCACAUCAGCAAAUUCAAGCAAUGGGCGUCCGUUACUUACCGCGUUAACGUAUGUAGACGUCAUAAUAAACGUCAACCUACAAAGAGUGCUGCAUGGAGGGAAUCACGGCUUUUUUUUUCUUCUUGUGUACGAGGGCAACCCAGUGUCACAGAGAGACUUAAAUUGACUGAUUCGAGAAACAGGAGCGACAUGACAUGAAAAUUUGCUUGCUCAAAGACAGAGAGAGAGAGCGACUUGAAUGUGAAACUGUUUCUAUCGUUGGUUUCUGGUUUCUGGUUUCUUGGAUGAGAACUGAAGUGGUUUAAUUUGAGUGAGCAAGUGAUAAUUUGGUUUCUUUAUUUUACUUUUCUGGUAAGGUCUCAAACCUUUAUUUGAUUCUUUGAUUGCUUUCUUUCCAAGUAUAAUUUCCAGAAUGUGGGUACAUCCAUUAAAAAAAGUUUUCAUCCUUAUGCUAAAUUUUACUUUUUUUGGUAAUCUGUUUUCUCUUAAUUUUUAGAUAAAUGAGAUUGCUUUAUUAGCCUCUUUAGUGUAGUUGGCUUUGAUUCUGGAAUACAUAUAUUAUUGAUGAACUCUAUGAGUGUUUUGUGUUAUCAGAUUCGUAGUUGAUUUUUUUUUUUUUUUUUGGCAAUUCUGUAUUUUCUUUUACCAAUCUUCUUGUGAAAUUUACUUAGAAAUGGUGGUUCGGUUAUUUUAUUUAUGUCGGCUUGCAAUAGAUGGCAUAUAAUUGGAGCAUUGUGGCUAUAUCUGACAAGGAUCGAUGUGGUAUGGUUUUGGGUAAAGAUUAAUGAUGGAAGAGUAGAUAAAAGGAUAAACUUGUUAAUGAUACAAAAACCAUGCUUGGGUGCUGAACGCAAUUUUAGGUUUUUAGAUUGAGUGAUUUUCAGCUUUUAGCAGUUCUUGAUGAUAGAGUAGUUAUAAGCAUUGUUUUGUUUUUCUUAUUUAUUUCAUUGCAGUGUCAUCUAUUUUUUUUGACAUAAGCUAUAAAUUUCAUCACAUCAAUCUGAGUAAAAUGCUUGGCUUCUUUGUGCAUUCCAUUGUUUUUGUGUUAAAUGAAAUGCUAUUUUUUCUUGCCUCUGUUGCUUUCCACAUAGACUUUGUGUUUUCAAUGAUUCUAUUUAAUCUCGAAUAUUGAUUUCAUUUCAAAAUCAUUAUACUUCAGGUUGUGCUUAACAUGUAUUUGGUGCUAGAUUCUGGACAUGCGUGUAAACCCUUUGAUUCUCCACAUUUGUUCUGAGUUCAUAUUUAGAUGAUGCUGAUAUAAUUAUUCAUUAAGGAAGCCAUUGAUUGAAUUCAUAACCAGCACAUGGUGGAUCCUGCAUUAUUUUGCCAUAGUAGUUACAGAGUCAUAUUUGGAAGCUUGUGGGGGUCUGUUCAUAAUCAUGAAAUUUUUAUUUAUAAGUUAUUACCUUUCAUAUUUUCUACAUUGGAUUAGCUUUAUGAUUGACCGCAUGACAAUGCCUACAAGAAAGUCACACUCAGAAUCUUUGAUCAUUUACAUUGUGGAAGUGCUAUCUCCCUAAAAAUUUUGGAGUGUUGAUAUCUGUAGUGGGUGAUUCAGUUUGUUCUGUUUUGACUACAGAAUUGCUUUGAUGGGUAAGACAAUUCACGUGUAUGGAUUCCCUCCCGAUGUGACUGUAGAUGAAGUCAAGAAGUGUCUGGAAUCACAUUCAGGGGAUGGAACUGUUUUUGCAAUGAAGAUCAGGGAAACCAAAAAUGGGGGUCAAAGAAAAUAUGCUAUUGUUCAAUUCCAGACUGCCAGAGAUGCUGAAUUAAUUAUAUCUUUGAAUAAACGUAUUCGGUACGGCACUUCAUAUCUCAAGGCUCGGACUUUGGCUAAGGAUAUUGUACCAAAUCCCAGAACGUUUUUACACAGCAUGGACCAUAUAACACUGCAUUUUGGAUGUCGGAUAUCAAAAGAAAAGUUUUCUGUUCUAUGGACAGGGACAAAUGUUUCGGUGAAUUUUGGAUUUGGAUUGAGAAAAUUGCAAUUUUUUCUAUCUCAUGAACAAAUGGACUACAAGCUUGACCUUUCUUAUGAGAAUGUUUGGCAGAUCGAGCUACAUUGUCCACGAGGUCGAUCUGUGAAAUAUCUUCUAAUUCAGGUUUCUUCAAUAUAUUUUAUUUAAUUUUUGAAUUAUUAAAUACUGUUUCUUGAUACUCUUAUAGCUAUUUGAAAUUCUUUAUAGGGCUUUUUCGAACCUUGGAAAUGCCUUUUUUGCCUUGUUAUUUAUUGCACGGAUGAACUAUGUUUUCCUUUUACAUAAACCAACUGUGGAGCUGCAUGGUGGGCAUAGUGAUUAAAGGCGCAAGGGGCACCUAUGCGCAACGAGCUAUUGGAGCCUAGGUGCUAGCCUGAGUGAAGUGAGGCGCGAAAAUUAGAAAUAAAUAAAACACAUAAAUCUGAAAACUAUAUUUUAUAAAAAAAAGGAAAAAAAAAAAAAAAAAAGAAAAGCUUGGAAAGAAACACAUAAAUAGAAAAAAUGGCAACAAGACAAGUUAUAUUGUAAGAUAUUGGAGUUAAGAUAGAAAAGUAAAAUCAAGAAAUGAAAAAAAGAAAAAAAAAGAAAGAAAGAAUAUAGAAAGCAAAUUGGAAGAGAAAUUGAGAGAGGCAUGUCUGAAUGGCUGUUAGCCAAAGUCUAGACUGAAGGAGGUGAGUGCUAGAUGGAGUGGAGGCUGGAUCUAAAGCAUAUCAUUGGUUUUUGUGAUAUAAUGACAAAGGAUUCAUAUGCCCAACCUCAACUAGUUUGGGGUUAAGGCCUUUAUUGUUGUUAUGUUGUUGUAGUAGAUACUACAUUUUGUUCUUUUGUUGGAAUAAUAAGUUAUUCCAUCGAAAUUUUAUAUUGUUUACUGUUAAUUUUUAAUAAAAAUACAAAACUGCCAUUUGUCGUAUUUCUAAUGUACCUUUUUAUGCUAAAAGAAAAGCUAUUGUUUUUUAACACUCGAUACAUAAAGUCACUUUUGAAUUUUAUUAUUUUAAUCUUAUGACACCCUUAAUUUUUACUUUAAUCUAUUAAACACUUCAAUUUAUAAAAUUACACAUAUUAAAUACGGUAAUUUUUAAAUUUAUUUUAUUAAAUAAUUCAACUUGUAAAGUAAGAUUAAUUAAACACUCAUUAAAAAAUUAAAAUUUAAGAAAAUUAUUGUUCCAAAAGUCAAGUUAACUACAUGUCAAGUCUAAAUUUAAAAGAUAGAAGCCAAAACUCCUAAAAAUUAUUGAUAUUAGUGUCGAAAAGUGUGUAAUAUUAUUAAAAUUUAUAAUAGAUCAUCCGUAAAAUUCAGGGUGUCACAAUGUUAAAGUUGUAAGUUCUUGAGUGAAUUUAUAUAUUAUAGAACUAGAAAAUUAUUUUAUUAUAAUUUAAUAUUUGAUUUGAAAAAUAUUUAUUAUAUUUUAUUUAAUUUUUUACUAUAUUUGAAAAUCUUACUAUGUUUAUAGUAGUCGUCUCAUCGGUUUUUACUCGUCAUUGGCGGAUGAGUUCCCUUCAAGAUUAAAAAAAAUUACCAUAUCUAAAUCCUAAUUUUCAAAUAGAAAGGGCUCCAAUGUUAUAAUAUAAAUGACCUCAAUCAUUAUUAAGAAUCACGGUAAGCAUUUUGAAAAAAAAUUACGUUUCUAGCGUAUUGUAUUUAUCUUUUUUUUUAAAAAAAAAAUUUUAGAAUUUUUUGUCAUUUGUGAGUGCUAGGCCUUUGUUGUGUUAGUUUGGGGCUAGACAGUUUCAUAUUCAAAGGCGACUUGUUAAAAGAAAAAUUAGAAAGACGCGCCUUUCUUGGGCCUAAGGCCGAAAAAGGCACAAAAAGGCUAGUCGCCCGCCUGCGGACUGUUGAGGCAUAAGCCCUUGAAUUUGAAGUUGAACCUUAAGUAAGGCAUGGGGCACGUCUUCAAUGAGUAUGAUGGUGGGAAAAUGAAUUCUCUUAUUAGUAGUAAAUUGAACAAUUUACUUAUAUCUAGGUUACGACUAAAGCAUGAUACAUGCAUGAAUUUUUUUUUCCUUGCCAUAUGCGGAGUUAUCAAGAAAAUUUGGAUAUUCCUAUUGGUUUGCCUGAACUUUCUGCUGGCUUUUCUAACAGACUUAAUACCUUUUUGAACUAAUAAGUUAAUUAUCCAAAAACUAACAAAAUAAGGUACUCUUGAUGGAUAGGGGCACAGAGAUGUUAAUAUGGUUUUAUCAAUAAAAUUGGCAAACUUUCUAUCUCCGGGAAUUUGAAAGAGUUGGCCCUGGGUUAAGUUUACUAAUAUGAGGAUCUUCUCAGGCAAGAUAGCUGAAUUCCUUUUUCCAGCUGGUAGAAAUGUGGCAUUUGUGAUUCACUGACUUGCCAAAAUAAAUGGGAAGUGGAAUCUAAGGCCAAGGGUGUACUUAUUUGGGAAUUGAAAGGUGCAUACUGUUUUGCUGAAUAAAAAAAAGCUGUAUGUCAUGUAAAAAGUUUCCCUUUUUUCUUUUUCUUCUUUCUGUUGGUAAUUUGUGCUUUUAUUGGUUUCAUUUAUGUCAUUAGUCUGAUGUGAUGCAUACAAUAAUCGAACAAUUUGUGCUAUCUCUUGUUUCAUGUAAGAUUUCAAGUAAAAAUGCAAACUGCUAAUUUGGUUUCUUUUUUUAGUUAUAUGGUGCACCCCGAAUUUUUGAGAAAGAGAUUGCAUCAUCUAAUGUGUUUGAGAGUCCGCUUUUCAACUACUUUAAGGAUACCCCUGAUGAACAAUGGGUCAGGACAAUUGAUUUCACACCAUUCUGCCUUAUUGGGCAUUCAUCCGGAUUAUGUUUGGAGUUUCCUUCCAGCAUUAAUGUUCCGAAAUUUCAGGAGAACUUUUCUUACUAUAAAGAAAGUGAAGCAAUUUUUGUUUUGGAGAAUGGUAAUGCUUUUUCUUGCAAUCUGGAUCUAGUUCCUAUUGUUGGUCCUCCCUCAGGUGUUGAUUUGCCAUUUGAGAUAUUAUUUCGAGUUAAUUUGUUGGUUCAGCAUGGGUGCCUUCCAGGGUCAGCACUUGAUUCUAGUUUUUACAAGUUGGUUGAUCCAAGUAGAAUGAAUAUUGACUGCAUAGAGCAUGCUCUUGAGAAGCUUUUUCACUUGAAAGAAUGUUGUUAUGAACCUUCUAUGUGGCUUAAUGAGCAGUACAGAAAGUAUCUUACGUCUAAGUACCUUCCAAGAUCACCCUCGAUAUCCCUAGACACUGGUUUGGAAUACGUGCGUAGGGGCCAAAUUACACCAUGCAAAGCCUAUUUUUGUGGUCCAGAGGUUAAUGUCUCAAACCGCGUGAUACGCCGCUAUUCAAAAGAUAUUAAUAAUUUUCUCCGUGUGUCUUUUGUUGAUGAGGAGUUAGGGAAAAUUCAUUCAACAGAUUUAUCUCCCCGUGCUUCUUCUGGAAAUGGGGAUAGGAGGACUGCCAUUUACAACAGGAUUCUCUCUACUCUCCAAAAUGGAAUAGUUAUUGGAAAUAAAAGGUUUGAGUUCCUUGCCUUUUCAUCUAGCCAGCUGAGGGAAAAUUCUUGCUGGAUGUUUGCUUCAAGAGAUGGGCUCACUGCUGCAGAUAUAAGAGAAUGGAUGGGAAACUUUCGUCAGAUACGAAACGUGGCUAAAUAUGCAGCCAGAUUAGGUCAGUCUUUUGGUUCAUCCACUGAAACACUGAGUGUUCGUAGAAAUCAAAUUGAAAUUCUUCCAGAUAUAGAGGCUGAAAGGGGCAGAACCAAAUAUUUGUUCUCUGAUGGAAUAGGCAAAAUAUCUGCUGAGUUUGCUCGGAGGGUGGCGUUGAAAUGUGGGCACCAAGGUUUCUAUCCAUCCGCAUUUCAAAUUCGUUAUGGUGGGUAUAAAGGUGUUGUGGCUGUUGAUCCAACUUCUUCUAAAAAAUUAUCAUUGAGAAAAAGCAUGUGCAAGUAUGAGUCUGAAAAUACAAAACUGGAUGUUUUGGGUUAUAGCAAGUAUCAGCCUUGUUUUCUGAAUCGCCAAAUGAUUACUCUUCUUUCGACCCUUGGUGUUCCGGACCAUAUCUUUGAGAAGAAACAGAGAGAAGCUGUUGAUCAACUGGAUGCCAUUUUAACAAACUCGUUAAGGGCCCAAGAAGCACUAGAUUUGAUGUCUCCAGGAGAGACCACUAACAUUCUCAACGAAAUGCUUUUGUGUGGUUAUCAGCCUGAUGCUGAACCAUUCCUUGCAAUGAUGCUCCAAAUGUUCCGAGCAUCAAAGUUGCUUGAUGUGCGGACAAAAUCUAGAAUCUUUGUUCCAAAUGGAAGAUCUAUGAUGGGAUGUUUGGAUGAGACAAGAAACUUGGAAUAUGGCCAGGUAUUUGUGCAAUUUUCUGGUAGUAAACAUAAGCAGGUGUAUGAUAGUUCCACCAUGUUUGGAGGCAUUGGAUCAGGCAACCGUUUUGUGAUUGAGGGACAGGUCAUUGUAGCUAAAAACCCAUGUCUGCACCCAGGUGAUAUUCGUGUUUUAAGGGCUGUGAAUGUACCAGAUUUGCACCAUAUGGUGGACUGUGUUGUUUUUCCACAGAAAGGACCAAGGUAUAUCUCUCAGUCUCUUCCAGCCUUAUAGCUUAGGUCAUUCUUUAGUUAAGUCAAUUUGGUUUCUGGUUUGAGUUGUCUGUGCCGAAGUUCUAUAUGUAUAACUGAGAGUUCUUAGAUUUACUUUUCCAGUUGCAUUUGCAAAGGGUUCAGAUUUGAAAAAUAUAAAAAUCCCUGCUUUUUUCAUGCAAGACAGAGGAAUUUACCUUUUAUCAAAAGAGAACUUGGAAAUAUGCUCUCUUCUUGUCUACUCUCCAAUAUCAUUUCUCUAUUUCUCCAAUGGGUUCUGAACCACAAAGUCCCAACUUCAAAGAUAGCUGGACUCAGUUAUAUAAGAAUGAGAGACGGAUAGAAAGUUGUGUAUGUGCAGCUAUGUUCCUAUAGAUGUUUAAGUUCUUAUCUUCUUGGUGUCUUUCACAGCGGAUUGAACCUUAUAAUAUUAUUGUUGUUAUUGUAGUUAAUCAUUGUUGCUGUUAUUAUGAUGUUCACUGUCCAUGUUAUCAUCAUCUAUAUGAUAGUUCUACUUCUGUUGUGUCUGCCUAUGUUCAGGCUAUUUUGGCCUACUUCUGUGGUAUUAUUGUAGGAAACUAGUUGAGUUGUGAGAUAACUAUGUCUGUCACAUCAGCUAUCUGAAUUCUUUUCUGUAAGAUAACCACUCCCUUCAAUGAACGUAACUGGUAUCUGUGUUCCCUCUUAUUAUUUGACAUGUGCAGUAGGCUUCUUGUGGAUAACAGUAGAACAUACCAAUGGAAACUCCUCCUUCCUUAGAAAUACCUAGGCUAUAUUCUGUGGACAUUGCUUCAUCAUCUCUGAUUUAUUUGUCUGAUGAAGCUGAUUGACACAGGCAGGUUUGUUAUUUGUUGUUUCUAUUAUUUUUAGGGGGGUUGGGGGGGCGAGUUUGGUGGUUGGAGGAUGCAGGGGGAAGACUCCUGUGCUUUGGAAUUUCAAUUGACACUAACAUGGACACCUCACCUUUCUUUGUUUUUCAAGUGCUAACAGAGUAACAGACUAGUAUUAUAGUGCCCCUUUUCAGAUUUUCUUUUUUUAUAUAUAUAUUUUUUAGUGUGAAAACAGUACUAACAUUAGUAUCUGAAUUGCAAUCUUAGACCUCAUCCAAAUGAAUGCUCGGGUAGUGAUUUAGAUGGAGAUAUCUACUUUGUCUGCUGGGAUCCUGAUUUAAUCCCACGUCUGCAAAUCCCACCAAUGGACUAUACACCAGAGCCAAGUUUGCAACUCGAUCAUGAUGUCACAAUUCAGGUACUACAUGUGUACGUAUGAAAUGUCCGAGCAAUUAUCUAUCAUCAACAAUAAUACUAUUGUUUCGCUAUCUUUUAAGAUUAUUCAGUCACUUCAUCAAAUUUUUUCUCUUCUAUGGUACAUUCUGGUAUUGUCAAACAUAAAGCUGCAAUUCUUCAAAAUUACAUACGUUCCUUAAUUUUUUUUUUUUUCUUUAUGACAGAGGAUUUAGUUUUGUACGUAGGUUCAAUACUAAUAGGUGUUUACUUUUAAUGUUUGUUUUUCCUUGUGGUGCCUUUAUUUCUGUAUUAUGAUGACUUUACUCCACCUGCAUCUUUUAUGUGUCAAAGUCAUUUUUUUUUUCUGGAUUAGUUUGCUCUUAUGUGUCUAUAGCAUAUGCUAAUAGACAUGCCUAUGGAUUUUUCUUAUUAUAUGAAGCAACAAUUUACACAAUUUACAAGAAAAAUAAGAAGCAGAUGGAAAGGGAGUUGCUGAUUAUCUGGUUUUCCGAAUCUCAGGGAAGCUGCAAAAGCAAAUUUUGGCCCGGGCCUUUUUAAUUUAUGUGACAAUGAUAUCUUGUACUUUUUAAUUCUUUUAGCUAUCUCAUUUGUGCAAUUUUAAGCAAUAAUCUANNNNNNNNNNNNNNNNNNNNNNNNNNNNNNNNNGUUUUUGUGUAAAAGUGGAUGCUUCAAACUACAACGUAAGGUAGUUCAGUCCAAGAGAGUCAUUAUUCCAUCAACCUCAUAACUGGUCCUUUUUUUUUGAAUGCUUUAAAAAAAAAAAAAAAAAAAAAAGAAAAAGGAAAUGUGAUAAUGAAAAAUCCUUUAGAACAGUGAAAUCUUAGGUUGUGUAUCUGUAUGCAUCAAGUUCUAACUGCAAACUCUGUUUUUUGCUUUAGCUUGAUUUUUUUUUUUUUUUUUUUUUUUUUAAUCAUGCAGCUAGAAAACCACAUUUCCCUUUUAUUCAGAGAUUUUCAUUUUGCUUUCUACAGGAAGUUGCGGAGUAUUUCACCAAUUACAUCUUAAAUGACAGCUUGGGAAUCAUUUCUAAUGCUCACACCGUCUUUGCUGAUAGGGAACCUGCAAAAGCAAUGAGUAAACCAUGUCUGGAACUUGCAAGUAAAUUUUCAAUUGCAGUUGAUUUUCCAAAAACUGGAGUACCAGCUGAAAUUCAUUCUCAUCUACGUGUCAAAGAAUAUCCUGAUUUCAUGGAAAAGCCUGACAAACCCACCUAUGAAUCUCAGAAUGUGAUUGGAAAGCUUUUCCGAGCAGUGAGAGACAUUGCACCACAUACAAGCUCUAUUAAGUCCUUUACUUUAGAAGUGGCAAGGCAGUGUUAUGACCCUGAUAUGGAAGUUGAUGGUUUUAAGGAUUAUAUAGAUGAUGCCUUCGAUUACAAAAGCAAUUAUGAUUACAAAUUGGGUAAUCAUAUGGACUAUUAUGGCAUCAGAACUGAGGCUGAAAUUCUCGGUGGAAGUAUUAUGAAAAUGUCAAAAGCUUUCACCAAGAAAAGGGACGCAGAAGCAAUUGGUUUGGCAGUGAGCUCCUUA